This 253-nucleotide ribosomal RNA is filed under the name uncultured bacterium. Its description in RNAcentral is "partial 16S ribosomal RNA". It matches the Rfam family "Bacterial small subunit ribosomal RNA", at positions 524 to 776 of the family's 1533-position model. The record is from RNAcentral.
UACGGAGGGGGCUAGCGUUAUUCGGAAUUAUUGGGCGUAAAGAGCGUGUAGGCGGCCAGGUAGGUCUGCUGUGAAAACUCGAGGCUCAACCUCGAGACGUCGGCGGAAACCAUCUGGCUAGAGUCCGGAAGAGGAGAGUGGAAUUCCUGGUGUAGCGGUGAAAUGCGUAGAUAUCAGGAAGAACACCAGUGGCGAAGGCGCUCUGCUAGGCCGUAACUGACACUGAGGGACGAAAGCUAGGGGAGCGAAUGGG